This 227-nucleotide ribosomal RNA is filed under the name uncultured beta proteobacterium. RNAcentral's name for it is "partial 16S ribosomal RNA". It matches the Rfam family "Bacterial small subunit ribosomal RNA", at positions 980 to 1211 of the family's 1533-position model. Lineage: Bacteria; Pseudomonadati; Pseudomonadota; Betaproteobacteria. The record is from RNAcentral.
CUUGACAUGUAUGGAACCCUGCUGAGAGGUGGGGGUGCCCGAAAGGGAGCCAUAACACAGGUGCUGCAUGGCUGUCGUCAGCUCGUGUCGUGAGAUGUUGGGUUAAGUCCCGCAACGAGCGCAACCCUUGUCCCUAGUUGCUACGCAAGAGCACUCCAGGGAGACUGCCGGUGACAAACCGGAGGAAGGUGGGGAUGACGUCAAGUCCUCAUGGCCCUUAUGGGUAG